Molecule: ribosomal RNA, 253 nt
Filed under: uncultured bacterium
Lineage: Bacteria
Description: partial 16S ribosomal RNA
Rfam family: Bacterial small subunit ribosomal RNA
Source: RNAcentral
UACAGAGGGGGCAAGCGUUGUUCGGAAUUACUGGGCGUAAAGGGCGCGUAGGCGGCCUGUUAAGUCGAACGUGAAAUCCCCAGGCUCAACUUGGGAACUGCGUCCGAUACUGAUUGGCUUGAAUCCGGGAGAGGGAUGCAGAAUUCCAGGUGUAGCGGUGAAAUGCGUAGAUAUCUGGAGGAAUACCGGUGGCGAAGGCGGCAUCCUGGACCGGCAUUGACGCUGAUGAGCGAAAGCUAGGGGAGCAAACGGG